RNAcentral lists this ribosomal RNA (424 nucleotides) under uncultured bacterium. RNAcentral's name for it is "partial 16S ribosomal RNA". It matches the Rfam family "Bacterial small subunit ribosomal RNA", at positions 360 to 776 of the family's 1533-position model. The record is from RNAcentral.
AAUAUUGGACAAUGGGCGAAAGUCUGAUCCAGCCAUGCCGCGUGUGUGAAGAAGGUCUUCGGAUUNUAAAGCACUUUAAGUUGGGANGAAGGGCAGUAAGUUAAUACCUUGCUGUUUUGACGUUACCGACAGAAUAAGCACCGGCUAACUUCGUGCCAGCAGCCGCGGUAAUACGAAGGGUGCAAGCGUUAAUCGGAAUUACUGGGCGUAAAGCGCGCGUAGGUGGUUUGUUAAGUUGGAAGUGAAAGCCCCGGGCUCAACCUGGGAACUGCUUUCAGAACUGCUGAGCUAGAGUACGGUAGAGGGUAGUGGAAUUUCCUGUGUAGCGGUGAAAUGCGUAGAUAUAGGAAGGAACACCAGUGGCGAAGGCGGCUUCCUGGUCCAGCACUGACGCUCAGGCACGAAAGCGUGGGGAGCAAACAGG